This 86-nucleotide transfer RNA is filed under the name Candidatus Nitrosotenuis sp. Its description in RNAcentral is "tRNA-Ile". It matches the Rfam family "tRNA". From Rfam's summary of the family: Transfer RNA (tRNA) molecules are approximately 80 nucleotides in length. Their secondary structure includes four short double-helical elements and three loops (D, anti-codon, and T loops). The record is from RNAcentral. Lineage: Archaea; Thermoproteati; Nitrososphaerota.
GGCGACGUGCCAGAGCUAGGCCCAUUGGGCUUGCUUGAUGAGCAAGAGUCGUAACGGGCUCGGGGGUUCAAAUCCCUCCGUCGCCG